This 233-nucleotide long non-coding RNA is filed under the name Salvia miltiorrhiza (redroot sage). RNAcentral describes it as "long non-coding RNA (SMIL_LNC012560)". The record is from RNAcentral. Lineage: Eukaryota; Viridiplantae; Streptophyta; Magnoliopsida; Lamiales; Lamiaceae.
UAAAUACCCUAACGUAGAAUAAAUUUGAAGAUUUGGGGGAAGAAAUUUCUUUUAUUUUUUGUAUUUUUCUAUUGCCCAAAAUGAUGUUGUAGUGACGUGUCACCUAUUAGUCCUACUCAUGUUUUAGAUUUGCCACAUCAGAUUCAAUUUCACCGGAAUAGUCGUCGGUGUUAAAAAUAAAAAAUUAUGAAAGUUCGUGUAUUUUAAUAAAAAAAUGAAAGUUCAUGUUAAAU